RNAcentral lists this ribosomal RNA (253 nucleotides) under uncultured bacterium. RNAcentral's name for it is "partial 16S ribosomal RNA". It matches the Rfam family "Bacterial small subunit ribosomal RNA", at positions 524 to 776 of the family's 1533-position model. The record is from RNAcentral.
UACGUAGGGUGCAAGCGUUGUCCGGAAUUAUUGGGCGUAAAGAGCUCGUAGGCGGUUUGUCGCGUCUGCUGUGAAAACUCGGGGCUUAACCCCGGGCCUGCAGUGGGUACGGGCAGACUAGAGUUCGGUAGGGGAGACUGGAAUUCCUGGUGUAGCGGUGAAAUGCGCAGAUAUCAGGAGGAACACCGGUGGCGAAGGCGGGUCUCUGGGCCGAUACUGACGCUGAGGCGCGAAAGCCAGGGGAGCAAACGGG